RNAcentral lists this ribosomal RNA (668 nucleotides) under uncultured fungus. RNAcentral's name for it is "eukaryotic LSU rRNA". The stretch from base 245 to 399 matches the Rfam family "5.8S ribosomal RNA". Lineage: Eukaryota; Fungi. The record is from RNAcentral.
AAGUCGUAACAAGGUUUCCGUAGGUGAACCUGCGGAAGGAUCAUUACUGAAUUGUCAAACGGGUUGUUGCUGGCCCUCAUAGGGGGCAUGUGCACGCUCUGUUUACACAUCCACUCACACCUGUGCACCCUCUGUAGUUCUAUGGUCUGGGGGACCCUGUCUUCCUUCUGUGGUUCUACGUCUUUACACACACACUGUAAUAAAGUUUUAUGGAAUGUACAUCGCGUCUAACGCAAUACAAUACAACUUUCAGCAACGGAUCUCUUGGCUCUCGCAUCGAUGAAGAACGCAGCGAAAUGCGAUAAGUAAUGUGAAUUGCAGAAUUCAGUGAAUCAUCGAAUCUUUGAACGCACCUUGCGCCCCUUGGCUAUUCCGAGGGGCAUGCCUGUUUGAGUAUCAUGAACACCUCAACUCUCAUGGUUUGCCAUGAUGAGUUGGACUCUGGGGGUUUUGCUGGCCUGUGGUCGGCUCCUCUCAAAUUAAUCAGCCUCCCAGUGUUUGGUGGCAUCACGGGUGUGAUAAAUAUCUACGCUCGCUGUUGUCUGCCAGGUAACCUUUGGUCACAAAGGUUUGCUGGAGCUCACAGAUGUCUCUCCUCAGCGAGGACAGCUUUUUUAACGUUCGAUCUCAAAUCAGGUAGGACUACCCGCUGAACUUAAGCAUAUCAA